RNAcentral lists this ribosomal RNA (178 nucleotides) under Paracoccaceae bacterium. RNAcentral's name for it is "Rhodobacteraceae bacterium partial 23S ribosomal RNA". It matches the Rfam family "Bacterial large subunit ribosomal RNA", at positions 2741 to 2925 of the family's 2925-position model. Lineage: Bacteria; Pseudomonadati; Pseudomonadota; Alphaproteobacteria; Rhodobacterales; Paracoccaceae. The record is from RNAcentral.
CAGGGUAGCUAUGAUCGGACAGGAUAACCGCUGAAGGCAUCUAAGCGGGAAGCCCCCCUCAAAACAAGGUAUCCCUGAGGGCCGUGGUAGACCACCACGUCGAUAGGCCGGAGAUGUAAGCGCAGCAAUGCGUUCAGUUGACCGGUACUAAUGGCCCGAUAGGCUUGAUUUGAUCCAG